Molecule: ribosomal RNA, 253 nt
Filed under: uncultured bacterium
Lineage: Bacteria
Description: partial 16S ribosomal RNA
Rfam family: Bacterial small subunit ribosomal RNA
Source: RNAcentral
UACCGAGGCUGCAAGCGUUAUCGGGAAUGAUUAGGCGUAAAGCGUCCGCAGGUGGCUGUGUGAGUCCAUUGUCAAAGCAUCAUGCUUAACCUGAUAAAGGCAGGGGAAACUACACGACUAGAGGGCGUUCGGGGCAGAGGGAAUUCCUGGUGUAGCGGUGAAAUGCGUAGAGAUCAGGAAGAACACCGGUGGCGAAAGCGCUCUGCUAGGCCGCAACUGACACUGAGAGACGAAAGCUAGGGGAGCAAAUGGG